GUAGGUGCACCUGCGGAAGGAUCAUUAACGUAUCCAACGUUAAAAACCCCCCCGUGAACCUACAACAUAUGGUUGCAAUCCCUGGUAAAUCAUUGCCGAACAGUUUUGAUUCAGGGACAUCAAGCACGUUAGUGUCCUGAUGCGAGUGGCAAGUGAGGGAGUCAGUCAGGGGGUUGUUAAAGUGUUCAACCUGAUUGUCAUCUUGUAAGUUGAGAGUGUCUUUUGAUUUUGAACGGGUAGACCACCUGUGGCCGACACGGCCGUGAUGGGAUUCUGGCGUCGUGCCUAUAGGUACGAACUAGCGCCCGACAUGACCUCUUGAAACGACAGGGGCGUAACCGGACCAAUUUUUUAAUCUGCCCCUUACCCUAACAGGUACUCGGGUGUCAAACGAACAACUGUUAACAAUGGAUAUCUUGGUUCUC
Molecule: unclassified non-coding RNA, 425 nt
Filed under: rhizosphere metagenome
Description: partial ribosomal RNA internal transcribed spacer region
Source: RNAcentral